RNAcentral lists this ribosomal RNA (579 nucleotides) under Purpureocillium lilacinum. Its description in RNAcentral is "partial large subunit ribosomal RNA". It matches the Rfam family "Eukaryotic large subunit ribosomal RNA", at positions 52 to 655 of the family's 3401-position model. Lineage: Eukaryota; Fungi; Ascomycota; Sordariomycetes; Hypocreales; Ophiocordycipitaceae. The record is from RNAcentral.
GGAGGAAAAGAAACCAACAGGGAUUGCCCCAGUAACGGCGAGUGAAGCGGCAACAGCUCAAAUUUGAAAUCUGGCCCCCAGGGCCCGAGUUGUAAUUUGCAGAGGAUGCUUUUGGCGCGGUGCCUUCCGAGUUCCCUGGAACGGGACGCCAUAGAGGGUGAGAGCCCCGUCUGGUCGGACGCCUAGCCUGUGUAAAGCUCCUUCGACGAGUCGAGUAGUUUGGGAAUGCUGCUCUAAAUGGGAGGUAUAUGUCUUCUAAAGCUAAAUACCGGCCAGAGACCGAUAGCGCACAAGUAGAGUGAUCGAAAGAUGAAAAGCACUUUGAAAAGAGGGUUAAAUAGUACGUGAAAUUGUUGAAAGGGAAGCGCUUGUGACCAGACUUGGGCCCGGUGGAUCAUCCAGCGUUCUCGCUGGUGCACUCCGCCGGGUUCAGGCCAGCAUCAGUUCGCCGCGGGGGAAAAAGGCUUCGGGAACGUGGCUCCUACGGGAGUGUUAUAGCCCGUUGCAUAAUACCCUGGGGCGGACUGAGGUUCGCGCUCCGCAAGGAUGCUGGCGUAAUGGUCAUCAGCGACCCGUCUU